AGUGAACGCUGGCGGCAGGCCUAAUACAUGCAAGUCGAACGGCAGCACAGCAGAGCUUGCUCUGUGGGUGGCGAGUGGCGGACGGGUGAGUAACGCGUGGGAACGUGCCCUGAGGUACGGAAUAACUGCGGGAAACUGCAGCUAAUACCGUAUGAGCCCCUAACGGGGAAAGAUUUAUCGCCUUGGGAGCGGCCCGCGUCGGAUUAGCUAGUUGGUGGGUAACGGCCUACCAAGGCUUCGAUCCGUAGCUGGUCUGAGAGGACGAUCAGCCACACUGGGACUGAGACACGGCCCAGACUCCUACGGGAGGCAGCAGUGGGGAAUCUUGCGCAAUGGGGGCAACCCUGACGCAGCCAUGCCGCGUGAAUGAUGAAGGCCUUAGGGUUGUAAAGUUCUUUUGCCCGUGACGAUGAUGACGGUAACGGGAGAAUAAGCUCCGGCU
Molecule: ribosomal RNA, 442 nt
Filed under: uncultured bacterium
Lineage: Bacteria
Description: bacterial SSU rRNA
Rfam family: Bacterial small subunit ribosomal RNA
Source: RNAcentral